GGGGGGUUUCCGGGAUUAUUGGGCGUAAGAGCUCGUAGGCGGUUUGUCGCGUCUGCCGUGAAAGUCCGGGGCUCAACUCCGGAUCUGCGGUGGGUACGGGCAGACUAGAGUGAUGUAGGGGAGACUGGAAUUCCUGGUGUAGCGGUGAAAUGCGCAGAUAUCAGGAGGAACACCGAUGGCGAAGGCAGGUCUCUGGGCAUUAACUGACGCUGAGGAGCGAAAGCAUGGGGAGCGAACAGGAUUAGAUACCCUGGUAGUCCAUGCCGUAAACGUUGGGCACUAGGUGUGGGGGACAUUCCACGUUUUCCGCGCCGUAGCUAACGCAUUAAGUGCCCCGCCUGGGGAGUACGGCCGCAAGGCUAAAACUCAAAGGAAUUGACGGGGGCCCGCACAAGCGGCGGAGCAUGCGGAUUAAUUCGAUGCAACGCGAAGAACCUUACCAAGGCUUGACAUGAACCGGUAAGACCUGGAAACAGGUCCCCCACUUGUGGCCGGUUUACAGGUGGUGCAUGGUUGUCGUCAGCUCGUGUCGUGAGAUGUUGGGUUAAGUCCCGCAACGAGCGCAACCCUCGUUCCAUGUUGCCAGCGCGUUAUGGCGGGGACUCAUGGGAGACUGCCGGGGUCAACUCGGAGGAAGGUGGGGACGACGUCAAAUCAUCAUGCCCCUUAUGUCUUGGGCUUCACGCAUGCUACAAUGGCCGGUACAAAGGGUUGCGAUACUGUGAGGUGGAGCUAAUCCCAAAAAGCCGGUCUCAGUUCGGAUUGGGGUCUGCAACUCGACCCCAUGAAGUCGGAGUCGCUAGUAAUCGCAGAUCAGCAACGCUGCGGUGAAUACGUUCCCGGGCCUUGUACACACCGCCCGUCAAGUCACGAAAGUUGGUAACACCCGAAGCCGGUGGCCUAACCCCUUGUGGGAGGGAGCUGUCGAAGGUGGGACUGGCGAUUGGGACUAAGUCGUAACAAGGUAACC
This 970-nucleotide ribosomal RNA is filed under the name uncultured bacterium. Its description in RNAcentral is "bacterial SSU rRNA". It matches the Rfam family "Bacterial small subunit ribosomal RNA", at positions 536 to 1501 of the family's 1533-position model. The record is from RNAcentral.